Molecule: ribosomal RNA, 539 nt
Filed under: Aspergillus fennelliae
Lineage: Eukaryota; Fungi; Ascomycota; Eurotiomycetes; Eurotiales; Aspergillaceae
Description: eukaryotic LSU rRNA
Rfam family: 5.8S ribosomal RNA (bases 153-306)
Source: RNAcentral
UGUCUAUUGUACCUUGUUGCUUCGGCGGGCCCGCCGUUUCUGACGGCCGCCGGGGAGGCCCUCGCGCCCCCGGGCCCGCGCCCGCCGAAUACCCCAACAUGAACACUGUUCUGAAAGUAUGCAGUCUGAGUUUGAUUAUCAUAAUCAGUUAAAACUUUCAACAACGGAUCUCUUGGUUCCGGCAUCGAUAAAGAACGCAACGAAAUGCGAUAAGUAAUGUGAAUUGCACAAUUCAGUGAAUCAUCGAGUCUUUGAACGCACAUUGCGCCCCCUGGUAUUCCGGGGGGCAUGCCUGUCCGAGCGUCAUUGCUGCCCUCAAGCACGGGUUGUGUGUUGGGCCCCCGUCCCCGGCUCUCCCCGGGGACGGGCCCGAAAGGCAUCAGCGGCACCGCGUCCGGUCCUCGAGCGUAUGGGGCUUUGUCACCUGCUCUGUAGGCACUGGACGGCGCCAGCCGACACCCCCAACUAUAUUUUCUAAGGUUGACCUCGGAUCAGGUAGGGAUACCCGCUGAACUUAAGCAUAUCAAAAGCCGGAGGAA